RNAcentral lists this ribosomal RNA (506 nucleotides) under Eublaberus distanti. Its description in RNAcentral is "partial 16S ribosomal RNA". It matches the Rfam family "Bacterial large subunit ribosomal RNA", at positions 1826 to 2600 of the family's 2925-position model. Lineage: Eukaryota; Metazoa; Arthropoda; Insecta; Blattodea; Blaberidae. The record is from RNAcentral.
CUUUUCUUGUAAAGUAUAAGAAGUAUAACCUGCCCAAUGAGUUUUAAAUGGCCGCGGUAUUUUGACCGUGCAAAGGUAGCAUAAUCAUUAGUCUUUUUAUUGAGGACUGGAAUGAAUGGUUUGACGAGAUAAAAGCUGUCUUUGAAUUAUUAUAUAUAAUUUAAUUUUUAAGUAAAAAGGCUUAAAUUUUUUUAUGGGACGAGAAGACCCUAUAGAGUUUAAUAUUUGUUGAUAUUAAUUUGUGUGUAUAGUUAUAGUGAUAUAAAUGAUUAUUUGGUUGGGGUGAUAAUAAGAUAAACGAAACUCUUUUUAAUUAUUAAUUACAAAUUUGUAUGGUUUUGAUCCAUUAUUAAUGAUUAUAAGACUAAACUACCUUAGGGAUAACAGCGUUAUCUUUUUUGAGAGUUCUUAUUGACGAAAAGGAUUGCGACCUCGAUGUUGGAUUAAGAUUAUCUUUAGGUGUAGAAGCUUAUUGAAUAAGUCUGUUCGACUUUUAAAUUCUUACA